AACGAACGCUGGCGGCGCGCCUAAUACAUGCAAGUCGAACGAGAAGCUGUAGCAAUACAGUUGUACAGUGGCGAACGGGUGAGGAAUACAUGGGUGACCUACCCUCGAGUGGGGAAUAACCAGCCGAAAGGUUGGCUAAUACCGCGUACGCUUCCCAGUCUACGGGUUGGGAAGGAAAGCGAUACCGUGGGUAUCGCGCUCUUGGAUGGGCUCAUGUCCUAUCAGCUUGNGGUGAGGUAACGGCUCACCAAGGCUUCGACGGGUAGCUGGUCUGAGAGGACGAUCAGCCACACU
This 294-nucleotide ribosomal RNA is filed under the name uncultured bacterium. RNAcentral describes it as "partial 16S ribosomal RNA". It matches the Rfam family "Bacterial small subunit ribosomal RNA", at positions 29 to 314 of the family's 1533-position model. The record is from RNAcentral.